Sardina pilchardus (European sardine) is the source of this 693-nucleotide long non-coding RNA. RefSeq lists it as uncharacterized. The transcript is spliced from 3 exons. The record is from RefSeq and is a predicted model, not a curated record. NCBI's taxonomy places the organism in Eukaryota, Metazoa, Chordata, Actinopteri, Clupeiformes, Clupeidae.
UUUUCAUUAUUCAUGCUGCUAUAAACUCAAAAACUGUUGAUAUGGGCAACUUGCUUGAUGACAUCAUUACUGUAAGCUUUGUGAUGUAAGCAAUGACAAGGACUGUGCAGCCAUUUGCAAUAAUGACAUCACAAACAGUAAAACACUGUCCCCUCAAUUUCAAAGAAAUGUGUCAUUUACUUAGUCUCUUCAGUAGCAACAGGUUGAGACGUUAACUUCUAACUUGUAACUGUUUUGAUCAUGAAAAAGACCCGUGAUAAAGUCAAACCUGAAACUGGAACAGGUAGAUUGUAUUUAUAGAUUAACUGGUGCUACAUUUGACAUACUGUUUUAAUAAUCUUGUCCUUGUAUUUAAAGCAUGUCUGUUUAUUUCUGUGGCCAGCAGGUCCCUCUCAGCAUGAACGGUGUUCAUCAGGACGCAGCAAUAGCUCCAGCUCAGGAUCUGUUCCUGGCUUUUUGGAAGAGACUCGCCUUUCUUCUUUACAGGAGUGUAUACUGAGUUUAUCUGAAGAGGAGUGGGAGGAUUUCAGCAGCCUGCUGAACACUCCUAUGACAAGGACUCAGUUCUCCCAACUCUGCGUGGCCAUCUUGAAGGUAGUGAGUCUUAGCUCCAUGACAGUGAUUGUACCUGCGUACGUCUCUGUGGCGAAGGAUGCUAGAACUUCGGUCAGCAGACCCUCAACGUCCACAACC